GAGGGUAUAGCUCAGUGGUAGAGCGCAUGCCUCACAAGCACAGGGUCCUGGAUUCAAUCCCCAGUACCUCCA
Molecule: transfer RNA, 72 nt
Organism: Camelus ferus (Wild Bactrian camel)
Lineage: Eukaryota; Metazoa; Chordata; Mammalia; Artiodactyla; Camelidae
Rfam family: tRNA
About the family: Transfer RNA (tRNA) molecules are approximately 80 nucleotides in length. Their secondary structure includes four short double-helical elements and three loops (D, anti-codon, and T loops).
Source: Rfam